GUGAGGAAUAUUGCGCAAUGGGGGAAACCCUGACGCAGCGACGCCGCGUGGAUGAUGAAGGCCUUCGGGUCGUAAAAUCCUGUCAGAUGGAAAGAAAUGUACAUGUGCUAAUAUCACUUGUAUUUGACGGUACCAUCAAAGGAAGCACCGGCUAACUCCGUGCCAGCAGCCGCGGUAAUACGGAGGGUGCAAGCGUUGUUCGGAAUUACUGGGCGUAAAGCGCGCGUAGGCGGCUAUUUAAGUCAGAUGUGAAAGUCCACGGCUCAACCGUGGAAGUGCAUUUGAAACUGGAUGGCUUGAGUACUGGAGGGGGUGGUGGAAUUCCCGGUGUAGAGGUGAAAUUCGUAGAUAUCGGGAGGAAUACCGGUGGCGAAGGCGACCACCUGGCCAGAUACUGACGCUGAGGUGCGAAAGCGUGGGGAGCAAACAGGAUUAGAAACCCGAGUAGUCC
Molecule: ribosomal RNA, 451 nt
Filed under: uncultured bacterium
Lineage: Bacteria
Description: bacterial SSU rRNA
Rfam family: Bacterial small subunit ribosomal RNA
Source: RNAcentral